ACCUGAUCCCAUGCCGAACUCAGUAGUGAAACGAAGCAGCGCCGAUGGUAGUGUGGGGUCUCCCCAUGUGAGAGUAGGACAUCGCCAGGC
Molecule: ribosomal RNA, 90 nt
Filed under: Salinivibrio sp. AR640
Lineage: Bacteria; Pseudomonadati; Pseudomonadota; Gammaproteobacteria; Vibrionales; Vibrionaceae
Source: RNAcentral